RNAcentral lists this ribosomal RNA (440 nucleotides) under uncultured bacterium. RNAcentral describes it as "partial 16S ribosomal RNA". It matches the Rfam family "Bacterial small subunit ribosomal RNA", at positions 338 to 795 of the family's 1533-position model. The record is from RNAcentral.
CCUACGGGAGGCAGCAGUGGGGAAUAUUGCACAAUGGGGGAAACCCUGAUGCAGCGACGCCGCGUGAGUGAAGAAGUAAUUCGUUAUGUAAAGCUCUAUCAGCAGGGAAGAAAAUGACGGUACCUGAGUAAGAAGCCCCGGCUAACUACGUGCCAGCAGCCGCGGUAAUACGUAGGGGGCAAGCGUUAUCCGGAUUUACUGGGUGUAAAGGGAGCGUAGACGGGAGUGCAAGUCUGGGGUGAAAGGCUGGGGCUCAACCCCCGGACUGCUUUGGAAACUGUACGGCUGGAGUGCAGGAGAGGUAGGUGGAAUUCCUGGUGUAGCGGUGAAAUGCGUAGAUAUUAGGAGGAACACCAGUGGCGAAGGCAGCUUACUGUACUGUAACUGACGUUGAGGCUCGAAAGCGUGGGGAGCAAACAGGAUUAGAUACCCGGGUAGUC